This 229-nucleotide non-coding RNA is filed under the name Bacillus thermozeamaize. Its description in RNAcentral is "T-box sequence". It matches the Rfam family "T-box leader". From Rfam's summary of the family: Uncharged tRNA acts as the effector for transcription antitermination of genes in the T-box leader family. T-boxes are found upstream of many aminoacyl-tRNA synthetase genes and some amino acid biosynthetic genes usually in Gram-positive bacteria. The anticodon of a specific tRNA base pairs to a specifier sequence within the T-box motif, and the NCCA acceptor tail of the tRNA base pairs to a conserved bulge in the T-box antiterminator hairpin. The record is from RNAcentral. Lineage: Bacteria; Bacillati; Bacillota; Bacilli; Caryophanales; Bacillaceae.
GUAAAGGCGAGGAAAGGGAGAGUACAGGUUGUUCGUCCGUCUUCAGAGAGGGCUGAACAGGUGGAAGCAGCCUGGCGGGACAAUCUGGAAGUGCACCCUGGAGCUGUCGGCCUGAAACCAAAGUAGGGCCGAACGGAAAGCCGUUAUCCGGGAAUGAGGGAACCGGUGCCUGUCCGAUCCCGGAGGGGCCGGUUAAGCAGAGUGGAACCGCGGGAAAAACGUCUCUGAC